Molecule: ribosomal RNA, 305 nt
Filed under: uncultured bacterium
Lineage: Bacteria
Description: bacterial SSU rRNA
Rfam family: Bacterial small subunit ribosomal RNA
Source: RNAcentral
UACCUACGGGGGGCAGCAGUAGGGAAUCUUCCACAAUGGACGAAAGUCUGAUGGAGCAACGCCGCGUGAGUGAAGAAGUAUUUCGGUAUGUAAAGCUCUAUCAGCAGGGAAGAGAAUGACGGUACCUGACUAAGAAGCCCCGGCUAACUACGUGCCAGCAGCCGCGGUAAUACGUAGGGGGCGAGCGUUAUCCGGAUUUACUGGGUGUAAAGGGAGCGUAGACGGCUGGUCAAGUCUGAAGUGAAAGCCCGGGGCUUAACCCCGGAACGGCUUUGGAAACUGAGCAGCUAGAGUGCUGGAGAGGG